Molecule: long non-coding RNA, 1887 nt
Filed under: Olea europaea (common olive)
Lineage: Eukaryota; Viridiplantae; Streptophyta; Magnoliopsida; Lamiales; Oleaceae
Description: long non-coding RNA (OEUR_LNC008912)
Source: RNAcentral
CCCACCGUACAAAAUCUGGGAACCAUUCAGGUUUUGUACCCCAUUAUCUAAUAGUGGAGAUGUUAUAAUUUAUUGAAUCUGAAACAAUUGAUUAAACUCCACUAAUGGAGAAUAAAUACACUCCAUGAAAGGAGGCACAAUCAACUCCAUGAAGGAGGAAGAAAACUCAAUGGAAGGAGAACAUUAAACUCUCCAUAAAAGGAGGAAUGGAAACUCCAUAAUAGGAGAAAAUGAAACCUCCAUAAGGAAGGAUUGGAAGACUAUACUCCAAUGAGUUAACAAUGCAUACAAGUGCUCUAUUUAUAGAGCAAAACUAACUAACUAAGGAGGCAAUACGUAUGGAAGAAGAAGUCUCUAGAAUCUGCAUGCUGAACUGGAGGGAAUAUUUUGGUGGAAUCUGGUGAUGCACACUACACCGGUGAAGUUAACUGGAAGUGAUGAAUGUUUGGUUCCAACACACCCCCUCAAGAUGGACUUGGAUCCAUCUUGAAGAUGAGUUGUGAAUCAUCAACCAUGUAACAACAACAACAUAUUGAAGUUCAAGUAGAUGCUAUUACUCCAGAUCCUUCAAGUGGUAAGGCUGGUUUACAGAUCCAAGUGUUCCACGCAUUUCAGUUGGAGAGAUCUCAGAUAUAUUAAGUGGCAGUAUCUCAGAUGAUAUAGAAUCUCCACCUCCACUGCACGUAUUAGACUCUGAGGAGAGGGCAGAUCUUGGAUCGAAGAAAUUGAGCCACAACACUCAUGACUCUCAUAAAGUAUUUGCAGAAGAGUAGCUUUGUCGAACAUUUCAUCAAGCACCUUGUGUGCAUACAAGAACUUCGAAUUUUCUCUGAUAGAUGUUUAGAUCUUCCACAGCACCAAGAACUCCUGAGUCAUAUGUGAACCAAAUAGAAAGUAUUUCAAUAGAAGAUAUCAUCAGAUCAAAUGAGUGAACAACUAGGGGGAAGCAAAAUGAAGCCGGACAGAUCUUCGAGUUUGCUGUGUUCUGCCAUUUUUCUACCUAAUAUCAUUGCACAGAUCAUUGAACCAGACUUCCAAACAAAUCAGCAAUUACAGCAGGAUUACGAGGAUCAUCUUCAGGAAUUCCCUGCUCUUGUAUCCUCCAAGGAAUUCAAUUGUGCAUUCAGCUCUGUAUCGGCAAGAGCAUCGAGAUUUCUUCAACCUGAUGUCCAGUGGCAAAUGGACUAAAUUCUGAAUUCUGGUUGAAAUUGUCAGCUCAACGAUUUUAUAGAAUCCAGAAGAAAACGAAGAGAAUUGCAAAAAAAAUUGAGGCAGACAGAUCUGGAGAAGAGCUGGAAAUUAUUCACUAAAUGAAUAUUAGAUCAAGCAACAGAUUUAUUGAAUCUGUGAAGAGAUGAAGACGUUCCUGUUGUUGCUACAAAGAUGAACAUCUCAUUUAUUCGGCAGAAGGCAACAAUAGUAAUGAUGUGGAUGAAUUAUGAUCUGAAGUCAAAGAUAAUACAGCAGCAGGAAGCUUUCAUUGCUCUGAUACCAUGUUACAAUUUAUUGAAUCUGAAACAAUUGAUUAAACUCCAUUAAUGGAGAACAAAUACACUCCAUGAAAGGAGGCACAAUCAACUCCUUUAUGGAGGAAGAAAACUCCAUGAAAGGAGAACAUUAAACUCUCCAUAAAAGGAGGAAUGGAAACUCCAUAAUAGGAGAAAAUGAAACCUCCAUAAGGAAGGAUUGGAAGACUAUACUCCAAUGAGUUAACAAUGCAUACAAGUGCUCUAUUUAUAGAGCAAAACUAACUAACUAAGGAGGCAAUACGUAUGGAAGAAGAAGUCUCUAGAAUCUGCAUGCUGAGCUGGAGGGAAUAUUCUGGUGGAAUCUGGUGAUGCACACUACACACGUGAAGUUAACUGGAAGUGAUGAAUGUUUGGUUCC